UUCUUGUUCGAGGUUUUAUCGAGAGAGAGCGAAGGCCAACUCGAUCGACCCUAGUUCGUGCGUACGUGUAGCCCUUGGAGCGUAUAUCAUCUGGUAUCAGAGCCGAAAGGUUCUACACCCUAGGUUGUAUCCCUCCUUUACUUUUGUUUUAGUUUUUGUUUCGUUCAUCUUAAGUCAAAAAAAAAAAAAAAAAUCUAGUAUUUCUUUGUUGCACUUGUGUUCGUUAUAGGUUGCUAGUUUGUUUUGCAUAACUUUAAAAAAAAAAAAUCUUGUAGUUGCUUAAGUUUGCUUGAUCGCUAAUUUUCAAAAAAAAAAAAAAGAAUUCAUCGUUUUAGUUUUGUUCUUAUUCAAUCGAGUUUGUUUGAUUAUUCGUUCGUUGAUACUUGUUUUUGUCAUAUCUCCUUUGCAUUCGCAGAUGGCAAACAACACCAAGGCUCCUUUGGACCCUAUUGCAGCUACGUUGGCGGCUAUCCAAGCCACUCUCCAAACGUUUGGAGACCGCAUGAACCGUCUCGAACAACCCCGGGUCAUCAACCCCAUCCGGAACCAAC
This 551-nucleotide long non-coding RNA is filed under the name Capsella rubella. RNAcentral describes it as "long non-coding RNA (CRUB_LNC001602)". The record is from RNAcentral. Lineage: Eukaryota; Viridiplantae; Streptophyta; Magnoliopsida; Brassicales; Brassicaceae.